Molecule: non-coding RNA, 2021 nt
Organism: Taeniopygia guttata (zebra finch)
Lineage: Eukaryota; Metazoa; Chordata; Aves; Passeriformes; Estrildidae
Source: RefSeq, a predicted model, not a curated record
CUACCCUGAGACCUGAGUAAUUCACCUUCAGUGUUCAUCUCCCCAGGGAGUUCUGGGACAAAGCUUUCCUUUGGGGUGAAGUGAAAAACAUGCCUGUCUUUUUUUAGUUUUAGUCCUUUCUUCAGUGUGUUCAGGAGGAGCUGAAUGGCUGGUUUAGUGUUUCUGGGUCAGACACAGGUGUGUUCAUCGGUGCUGGGAUGCCUGACACGCGGGAAGAAUGAUGUGCAGAACUCCAGUGACCUCAGAAGGUUAAUUAAUUACUUCAUUAUACUAUAACUGUAUUACACUAUAUUACACACUAACAGGAACUAUCACUAACUAACGACAUCACUAAUAAGAAAAACCUGUGACACUCUGCAGAGAGUCCCGACACACACAUGAAUCCAGUUGGUCAACAAAUCCAAACAACCAUCACCAGAAUCCAAUCAAGCAAUCACCUUGGGUAAGCAAUCUCCAUACCACAUUCCACAUUGGCACAAACACAGGAGCAGCCAAUGAGAUAAGAAUUGUUUUAUUUCUCUUUUCUCUGCUUCUCUCACAACUUCUCUUAGGAGAAAUCCUGAGAAAGGUAAGUGUGUCUCUGUUCAGAGGGCAUGUGAAUACCACAUGUGUUUAGUUACACAUGUGAAUAUUGUGCUUAGAAGUAUCUUGUACUUUUAAGUAGCUGGGGUUUUAAGUCUUUGUCCAUUUUUUACCUUUUUCCCCCUUGCUAAUGUAAUAACAGUACUUCCUAAACCCUAUCCUUUUCCUAGGUACUGACCUCAUCAUCUCUGGGUGCUACUCCAAUAAUAAAAAAAAUAGACUUGUGGGUUAUGGGAUCCUUUAUAGACCUGCAUGGAACUAAUCUGGCUCGGCUGGAAAGGGUCAUGUAAACCUUCUGCAACUGUUAGAGUCUGUGUGGUUUCACACCCAACAAAUGUCAAAGCAGAACUUAGCUCCAACAGCCAAGUUUCAUCUAUGUUUGGUUUCAUCCAUAAAAGAACCCACCAAAUUCCACAUCAGCCAUUUCAGACUUGCAAGAAACCACCCAGCUUCAGUGAACAGGUCAAGAAUCUGCUCUUACUUUACAUAGAAACAUUGAAGCUAAAAGCACAACUCCAACUUGUCCUCUGUAGUUAUUUGAACAGCCUUCACUUGCAAAGUUUUGGAGAAUGAAAGGAGUCUCUCUGGUGAAGAUGAUGAGACAACACAAGAUCCUCAGCUUGAAGAGGAGAGCAGAAGUGGUGAAAGCCUUUUCACUGGAAAGCUUUGUGAUGACACCCACUCUGGUACAACCCUCCAGAGCAGCCCUUCUCAGGCCACAAGGGAUCUCACAGAAGGUUAAGACAACUCACAUAUCUAAGAUCAGGGCAUGCCUGCAAGCUUUGGCAGAUGAAAACAGAGCAUGGAGAAGUACAGAAUGCUUGGCAGAUGUGUAUUUUCUGCCAAGAAUUCUGUAAUUCUGGUUACCAACCGAAAGCAAACAAACAUAUCAUCAACUAAGGAAGAUCAGACCAUGCUUCUAACAGUCAAUACUAGUGACUAGAUUUUUUUUUUUUUCUGGUUCAUUUAAAUUUGACAGUAGAAGUCAAAAGUUAGCUUAAUUCCUGAAUAUGAUGCCUUGAGAAUGUAAUGUAAAGCUCACAGAAUAUGACAGACCCCCUGCAAAUGUAAGUCAAUUGCCCAAUGCCAGUGGAUUUAUUCCCUAAGAACAAUUUACAGCUGAACCACUGUGUCCUUAAAACAUUCAGACCUCACCUAGACUCUCAGAUUUUGAUGUUCUUUCAAAAAAUAUCCAGUUCCCUUGUUGACCCUAACAUGCUUCAGUUUUUGGCAUUCAUUUCACAAGGGUGUCACCCUGACGCCUUGACCACCACUAACAACCAAAGCACCAUGUGAGUCAACACCUCUGCACAGAUGAAAUUAAAUGUUAAGCCUUUUUUCAUACAGUUUUAAUGAGAUCUUAUGGCUGACCACACCCAGCUGUAUUAGUUGAUGGAAGCACAAGAUUCACCCAAACCAUUGAAUGUAAGAGGUAUCAC